RNAcentral lists this ribosomal RNA (834 nucleotides) under uncultured bacterium. RNAcentral describes it as "bacterial SSU rRNA". It matches the Rfam family "Bacterial small subunit ribosomal RNA", at positions 9 to 827 of the family's 1533-position model. The record is from RNAcentral.
GAGUUUGAUCCUGGCUCAGAUUGAACGCUGGCGGUAACUUUUAAACAUGCAAGUCGAGCGGUAACAGACAUAAAGAUUCAGCUUGCUGAAUCCGGUGCUGACGAGCGGCGAACGGGUGAGUAACGCGUAGGAAUCUACCCAGUAGCGGGGGAUAGCCCGAGGAAACUCGGAUUAAUACCGCAUACGCCCUGAGGGGGAAAGGGGGCAAUUUAUUGCUCUCACUAUUGGAUGAGCCUGCGUAAGAUUAGCUUGUUGGUAGGGUAAUGGCCUACCAAGGCGACGAUCUUUAGCUGGUCUGAGAGGACGAUCAGCCACAUUGGGACUGAGACACGGCCCAGACAUCUACGGAUGGCAGCAGUUAAGAAUAUUGGACAAUGGGGGCAACCCUGAUCCAGGUAUACCGCGUGUGUGAAGAAGGCCCUAGGGUUGUAAAGCACUUUAAUCAGAGAAGAAGCAUUUUAAGUUAAUACCUUAAUUUGUUGACGUUAACUGAAGAAUAAGGACCGGCUAACUCCGUGCCAGCAGCCGCGGUAAUACGGAGGGUCCAAGCGUUAAUCGGAAUUACUGGGCGUAGAGCGCGCGUAGGCGGUUUAGCAAGUUGUAUGUGAAAGCCCUGGGCUCAACCUAGGAACUGCAUCCAAAACUACUAAGCUAGAGUACGAGAGAGGAGAGUAGAAUUUCUGGUGUAGCGGUGAAAUGCGUAGAUAUCAGAAGGAAUACCAAUGGCGAAGCAGCCCACUGGCUCGUCACUGACGCUGAGUGCGAAAGCGUGGGUAGCAAACAGGAUUAGAUACCCUGGUAGUCCACGCCGUAACGAUGACACUAGCCGUUGGG